RNAcentral lists this long non-coding RNA (224 nucleotides) under Lathyrus oleraceus (garden pea). Its description in RNAcentral is "Pisum sativum (pea) long non-coding RNA (PSAT_LNC033986)". The record is from RNAcentral. Lineage: Eukaryota; Viridiplantae; Streptophyta; Magnoliopsida; Fabales; Fabaceae.
UGAAGUCUUUGAGCUUGUUGAGGUUUUGAGAUCCAAUACAGUUCUAGUACAAGGGAUUCGUCCUAUCAAGUGAUUAAGAUACUUUUAUUACUUGAAUAGACAGAGGGAAUGAGCAUAGUAAAAGGAUUUAAUUGAUUAAAACGAACUUUAUUCAACAUAAUUAAUUGGAAAAUCAAUGAACAAAGAGAUAAUGACUUGAAAACCCUAGGGAUUAAUAAGAUUAA